This 493-nucleotide long non-coding RNA is filed under the name Parus major (Great Tit). RNAcentral describes it as "lncRNA (ENSPMJG00000000882.1)". Lineage: Eukaryota; Metazoa; Chordata; Aves; Passeriformes; Paridae. The record is from RNAcentral.
GUUUGAGCCGGGGAGAUGAUCAGCUUGGCUUUGGUCCUUCUUCCUGUUUAAGGGCUGUGAUGGAUUCCCUUUUGUCCUUGUGUGGGUUUUUCAGUUUGGGAAUGUGUUUAGGAAAACAGUGAACUGUGAACUUCUUCUGACAGGGUAACAUUUAGAAAUAUGGAUUUCCUGGGAGUUUUGAAAGGCUGGAUUUGAUUGGAGAGGUCUAGUGGAGGUACCAGAACACUCAAGUGCAAUGAUUUUCUUUCAGCACCUGAGUUUGAACAGAAACCUGACCCCUGUCCUGCUGACAGAGGUUUAUCAAGCAUAUCUUAGUGGGAGCUGCUGCAGGCAGAGCACACGUUCUUCUGGACAAACUCCUGACCUUCAGCCCUUUCUGUCUGGAAAUCCUUGCAGUUAUACCUGUGGUGAAUUAAUCUCUUCAUUAGCUUCGUCUGAGUGCUCAAGAAAAUGGAUCCCUCAGCUGGCGCCGUGUGGGGAGGUUUUGGAGUAG